CAGAGCUCCCUCUGGCUCCCACUAUAAAUACUGCGUAACCUACGGGACCUUCAGUUGAUAACUGUUCUUUGAGGUGAUUGUUGCUAGGCUUAAAAUUUAAAUUCGCUAAUUUGUUCCUUAAAUUGUGAAAUUGUGUUUAUUAUAAUAUCUCAAAGUGGAAAAUAGACAAGUACUUAUCUCGAUCGGAGUGAUCGGAGCUUUAGACCGGAAAUCAAUUUAUACUUUAAUAAUCACCCUUCAAGAAAGUUUUCAUUAAAUAUAAAAAUAUUCUGAUAUUUUAGUAAUAAUUCUUCAGUGAAUUGGAGUUUAUUGUGUUUCGUAUUGUCAAUCGGUUGAAAUUAGCCGACAGAAGAAAGUGCAAGUGUUGGAAAUAUUUUUCUUUCUCGGUCGGUAAAAAUUUAUCGAAGAAGAAAUAGUGAAUGUGUUUGGAAUAUUUGUGUUGUUUUUUCAAUUUAAUCCGUCGUGUUAAUUGUUUGAUAAAGAUUAACAAGAUGUUUUUUCUGGACAGUGAUAAUUCGGGAUUGUUCAAUAAGCGAUUAGAACAUUGUUGUAUAAAGCAAGAUGGCGCCGCUACAAGUGUCAUUGGUCAGUUUUGCAAUUCUAAAUUUGUGUUUCGAAAGUUUUAAACAAUAUUAGUGAUUAGUGGUGUUAAUUAUGUGAUAUAAUUGUAAUGAAAAUUAAAUGUCUAUACAUAUAAGUGAAGUUUCCUGAAAGGAUAAAAUGAAGAAAUAGGAAGAAAAGAAGUUAUAUAUCUACUACUUUACUGACGGAGUAGCUCUGUAUUGGAGGAUAAUGUACCAGCUAAGUUUAUUCAUUUCAAAAUCCAACAUUCUUCGUUCGGUGAGUCUUUAUUAUGUUUUGACUAUAAUUUACAGUGACAAGACAUUAUUGCAUUUAUUAUAAGUUGUCACUAUUUUCGUUAUUUGUACAUGGACGGUAUGUGAGAGAACCGUCAAAAUGAGUGUCGCUGAUGCAAAAA
This is a long non-coding RNA of Leptopilina heterotoma, 979 nucleotides long. RefSeq lists it as uncharacterized. The transcript has 2 exons. NCBI's taxonomy places the organism in Eukaryota, Metazoa, Arthropoda, Insecta, Hymenoptera, Figitidae. The record is from RefSeq and is a predicted model, not a curated record.